CGGAACGGGUGAGUAACGCGUGAGGAACCUGCCUCAAAGAGGGGGACAACAGUUGGAAACGACUGCUAAUACCGCAUAAGCCCACGGCUCGGCAUCGAGCAGAGGGAAAAGGAGCAAUCCGCUUUGAGAUGGCCUCGCGUCCGAUUAGCUGGUUGGUGAGGUAACGGCCCACCAAGGCGACGAUCGGUAGCCGGACUGGGAGGUUGAACGGCCACAUUGGGACUGAGACACGGCCCAG
Molecule: ribosomal RNA, 238 nt
Filed under: uncultured bacterium
Lineage: Bacteria
Description: partial 16S ribosomal RNA
Rfam family: Bacterial small subunit ribosomal RNA
Source: RNAcentral